RNAcentral lists this ribosomal RNA (406 nucleotides) under uncultured bacterium. RNAcentral's name for it is "partial 16S ribosomal RNA". It matches the Rfam family "Bacterial small subunit ribosomal RNA", at positions 30 to 526 of the family's 1533-position model. The record is from RNAcentral.
AUCGAACGCUGGCGGCAGGCCUAACACAUGCAAGUCGAGCGAGCGGCGGACGGGAGAGUAGUGUCUGGGAAACUGCCUGACGGAGGGGGAUAAUUCUUGGAAACGGUAGCUAAUACCGCAUACCAUCAGUUGUGCUCAGAUGGGAUUAGGUAGUAGGUGGGGUAAAGGUGCACCAAGGCAACGACCCCUAGCUGGUCUGAGAGGAUGACCAGCCACACUGGAACUGAGACCCGGUCCAGACUCCUACGGGAGGCAGCAGUGGUGAAUAUUGUGCAAUGGACGCAGGCCGAAUGCAGCCAUGCCGCGUGUAUGAAGAAGGCUUUGGGGUGGUAAAGUCCUUUCGUCGGGGAGGCGUUACCUACAGAAAAAGCACCGGCUAACUCCGUGCCAGCCGCCGCGGUAAUUC